This 428-nucleotide ribosomal RNA is filed under the name uncultured bacterium. Its description in RNAcentral is "bacterial SSU rRNA". It matches the Rfam family "Bacterial small subunit ribosomal RNA", at positions 355 to 798 of the family's 1533-position model. The record is from RNAcentral.
UGGGGAAUCUUGCGCAAUGGGCGAAAGCCUGACGCAGCCAUGCCGCGUGAAUGAUGAAGGUCUAGGAUUGUAAAAUUCUUUCAGCAGGGACGAUAAUGACGGUACCUGCAGAAGAAGCCCCGGCUAACUUCGUGCCAGCAGCCGCGGUAAUACGAAGGGGCUAGCGUUGCUCGGAAUUACUGGGCGUAAAGGGCGCGUAGGCGGGUCGUUUAGUUAGAGGUGGAAGCCCAGGGCUCAACCCUGGAAUUGCCUUUUAAUACUGGCGGCCUUGAGUAUGGCAGAGGUGUGUGGAACUCCGAGUGUAGAGGUGAAAUUCGUAGAUAUUCGGAAGAACACCAGUGGCGAAGGCGACACACUGGGCCAUUACUGACGCUGAGGCGCGAAAGCGUGGGGAGCAAACAGGAUUAGAUACCCCAGUAGUAGUCCUG